GGUUGUGGCUCAGAGGUAGAGCGCUUGCCUAGCAUGCGUGAGGCACUGGGUUCAAUUCUCAGCACCA
RNAcentral lists this transfer RNA (67 nucleotides) under Marmota monax (woodchuck). Its description in RNAcentral is "tRNA.Ala". It matches the Rfam family "tRNA". From Rfam's summary of the family: Transfer RNA (tRNA) molecules are approximately 80 nucleotides in length. Their secondary structure includes four short double-helical elements and three loops (D, anti-codon, and T loops). The record is from RNAcentral. Lineage: Eukaryota; Metazoa; Chordata; Mammalia; Rodentia; Sciuridae.